AAAAAAUCUCAACACUUUUAGGCCCACAGGCAGCUGCUGACAGCAAAUGAUAAACUUUGCAGCCACAGCUAUGGAAAUUUUCCCAAUAGAUGACAGUUUCAUUUUCCAAAACUGCAGGCUUCAAUUCUUUCCCUACAUUUUCAUUCCCAAAAGAAUUGAGAGGGGCAAAAAGUCCUCCAGAACGUCAUAUAUGAUAAUUGAUGAAAAAAGAAACAGCAGACAUCUCAAAACAUGAGAAAACAUCAAACAAGUUAGGCACACAAAAGGAUUGAGGCUCAAUCCAUGAAAAGUAAGCAGAUGGCCAACCAGUUAAUCAGAAGUCAAAUGCUACAAAUGCAGAGGGAAAGAACAAAUAAAUGGUUAACAUAAAAGUUAAAUGUUAAAACAAUCUAUUAAACAUCCUGCAGUUUCAUAAGUUCAGC
This 422-nucleotide unclassified non-coding RNA is filed under the name Hevea brasiliensis (rubber tree). The record is from RNAcentral. Lineage: Eukaryota; Viridiplantae; Streptophyta; Magnoliopsida; Malpighiales; Euphorbiaceae.